Non-coding RNA from Arachis ipaensis, 776 nucleotides. NCBI's taxonomy places the organism in Eukaryota, Viridiplantae, Streptophyta, Magnoliopsida, Fabales, Fabaceae. The record is from RefSeq and is a predicted model, not a curated record.
UCGUUUGGCUUUAGAUCCCCCCUCCCCUUUCGACGAACCCCAAUGGCUAUUCCCCCCUCCCCAUUUCCCCUAAUCUGAGAAAUCAAAUCAGUCUGAUUCCAGUGGAAGUGUGGAACCCUCCAGCGCUCGUCUCCGAUCUCUCUGCUCCUUCGUUGUCGGCACUCGGCAGUCUCUCACCCUCACCUAGUCGCCCUCACCUCGUCACUCCAACGUCUCUCCCCUCACCUCGUUACUUCGUCGCCUCUCCGCUCACCUCGUCACUCUCCGUCUCUCACGGUCACGGCCUCACCUCGUCGCUCUUUCAGUCUCUCACCUCGUCGUCGUCGUCGCGGUCCCGUAAUCCUGCCCUGCGUUCACUUCGUUGGCGGCAGAAAGCUCACAGAAGACAGAAAUCAAGCAGCAUCUCUGCAUCUGCUCCCUCGGGUCAAUCGGGUGGUGGUGGUCGUCUUCUUGGUCGCGGUCUGGGAACCAGUUAUCCAGGUAUGGAUGCAAAUCAAAAUGAGUAAAAUGUUGAUCAAGCUCCAAAUUUGUCCUAUGAAGAUGUUGAUGUCGACUUUGAGCUCACCCUUGGACUUAAUUUAAUGAUUGUGUUAUCUUCCACUUGCUCUUAUUUAAAUUGAGAACAUAUUUUGUACUAAAAACUAGUUUAUUAUCUUUUUUUUAGAUUAUUAGUUAUGUUUAAGACUUGAUAUUAGAUUAUUAAUGUUUGUAAAGACUUGCAUUUUAAGUUUUAUGACAUCAUUUUAAUUUUAUUUAUAUAAUUUUAUAUUUUUUAA